RNAcentral lists this ribosomal RNA (432 nucleotides) under uncultured bacterium. Its description in RNAcentral is "partial 16S ribosomal RNA". It matches the Rfam family "Bacterial small subunit ribosomal RNA", at positions 29 to 506 of the family's 1533-position model. The record is from RNAcentral.
AACGAACGCUGGCGGCAUGCCUAACACAUGCAAGUCGAACGAGACCUUCGGGUCUAGUGGCGCACGGGUGCGUAACGCGUGGGAACCUGCCCUUAGGUUCGGAAUAACUCCCCGAAAGGGGUGCUAAUACCGGAUAAUGUCUUCGGACCAAAGAUUUAUCGCCUUUGGAUGGGCCCGCGUUGGAUUAGCUAGUUGGUAGGGUAAAAGCCUACCAAGGCGACGAUCCAUAGCUGGUCUGAGAGGAUGAUCAGCCACACUGGGACUGAGACACGGCCCAGACCCCUCGGGGGGGGGGGUGGGGGGAAUAUGGGACAAGGGGCGAAAGCCUGACCCAGCAAGGCCGGGGGAUUGAUGAAGGCCUUAGGGUUUAAAAGCUUUUUUCCCCGGGAUGAUAAUGAAAGAACCGGGGGAAAAAGCCCCGGCUAACCCCGU